CGAUGAUGCAUAGCCGAGUUGAGAGACUGAUCGGCCACAUUGGGACUGAGACACGGCCCAAACUCCUACCGGGAGGCGAGCAGUAGGGAAUCUUCCACAAUGGACGCAAGUCUGAUGGAGCAGCGCCGCGUGAGUGAAGAAGGUUUUCGGAUCGUAAAGCUCUGUUGUUGGUGAAGAAGGAUAGAGGUAGUAACUGGCCUUUAUUUGACGGUAAUCAACCAGAAAGUCACGGCUAACUACGUGCCAGCAGCCGCGGUAAAU
This 261-nucleotide ribosomal RNA is filed under the name uncultured Lactobacillus sp. RNAcentral describes it as "partial 16S ribosomal RNA". It matches the Rfam family "Bacterial small subunit ribosomal RNA", at positions 274 to 525 of the family's 1533-position model. The record is from RNAcentral. Lineage: Bacteria; Bacillati; Bacillota; Bacilli; Lactobacillales; Lactobacillaceae.